Molecule: ribosomal RNA, 253 nt
Filed under: uncultured bacterium
Lineage: Bacteria
Description: partial 16S ribosomal RNA
Rfam family: Bacterial small subunit ribosomal RNA
Source: RNAcentral
UACGGAGGGUGCGAGCGUUGUCCGGAAUCAUUGGGCGUAAAGCGCGCGUAGGCGGCCUCGUAAGUCCGUUGUGAAAGUCAAAGGCUCAACCUUUGAAAGCCGAUGGAUACUGUGAGGCUAGGGUCCGGAAGAGGCGAGUGGAAUUCCUGGUGUAGCGGUGGAAUGCGCAGAUAUCAGGAGGAACACCAAUAGCGAAGGCAGCUCGCUGGGACGGUACUGACGCUAAGGCGCGAAAGCGUGGGGAGCGAACAGG